CGGCGGCCGUGAGAGCUGCGUUCUCAUUGGCUUCCCGCCCUGUCCGUCUCCCCUUCUCUGCAGGCCGCAGGGGGCUCAGUGAGUCGGAGCUGGAGCAGCCGCUUGGCUUGCUGAAGCUGGCGCGGGAUUUUGGGAGGGGGCUGGAGCAAGGGCCGAGAAGGAGAAGUGGGGCGGGAUGAUUCAUCCCUUUCCACCCCCACCCCCCACACGCUUCCUUCUGAGCUCGAGUGCAGUCACCCGGGAGCAGGGGGCGUGAGAACCCCUCCCAAUCGUGAGUGGGCUGCUGUUGCCUGUCGCCGGCGCUUGGGGCUUGCCUUCCAGCUCUAGUCUGCGCGCCGACCCACCCCUUCUCCUUCCGCUGCUGGCAUCAAGCUGGCACCUCCCCCGUGCCUUCCUGGGGGCUUUUGGGCUUUUCUCCAGCACUCAGAAGCAGCUGGAGCGCCCGCAUCCAUCGUGUUUGGGGGAGAUGGUUGUGUGUCAUGGCUGCAGUGCCCCCUUCUUGCGCUCCCCCCCCUCCCCGGUAGCUUUUUCCCUACUCCGAGGCAAAGGCUCAGUAUUCCUCCAAAAGCUGUACCACCAUCGCUACAUGUUUUAAAUGUGUGGAGGCCCCUACGCCUUGGAGUGAAGGUACCUAGGUUCUUCUCACCCUCCCAGCCUCUCGAAGCUCAUCCCUCAGCAUCUGGCUGGGUUUUAGAGAGGCCCCAGGAACAUUAGUUGAGUUGAAGCAGGCAGAGUUUGUGUGUUUCUGAGUGCUAUUGUUUGGAAACUAGCUAUGUGAACGAAUUGCUAUGGCAUUGCAGAUUCCAAUGUUUGAUUCCAAACGAUAUUAUCCAAUGUCACAUGCCCUUAGCAUCUACCAUAAAUUCCAGAAUAGGGGGCGGGGUGUUAUUUUUGCUUCUGUGAGGUAAUGAAGGAAUCUAAUGAUAGCCCUUGUAUUCUAACCGAUUUCUCUUUUCCCCAAAUCGUGCUAGAGAUAAUGGAUCCUGCCCCUUGCCUGCAUAACCCUUAAAUGAGGACGACGAUAGAAUCUUUGAAUCAAUAUAUCAGCCUGUUACUCAAUGGGUAGAAUCUUUGAAUCCAGUGACAUUCCAAGGAAGUAAUUUAUCUUGGGGGCACACAUAGUUAAUUUUCUGAGUGAUUCAUAAAACAAGUGACAAAAAUGGUUUUCAAGUCCCGUGGGAUCUUCCAAAUUUUCAACUUCCAGUAGAUAACGAUUAUUCAUAGCUUCAUUUAUAAUUUAAAAGCACUUUUUUUUGUCCAGGGAAAAGAAGUACUUUCUAUAAUCUUUGAUUUUUGGAGAAAUAGUACAAAUAAAUUGGAUUAUCUCGCAAAUAUAUUUUUUAGCACAAUGACUACAGUAGUUGAUCAUUGGUUGUGUGGGAGGAAGAAUUCACAUUGUUAUUUAAAACUAUGUUAGUCACAAAUCCUACAGGGUUUAUUUCUAACCCAUAUUUUAAUUAGUUGAGACCAGAGCUGCUAAGGUAUAUGCAAUCUGUUUACAGGCAAAGAGUUUCUUCAGAUUUGAUUGGGGGCAUUAUCUAUAUUAGUGCAGGAUACAAAGACUACAUUAGUCCAAAGACACUUUGCUCAUGCUAAGUGAUUGAUUCUUAAGAAAUUGGUGGAGAGGGUCAUCCACCCUUGCAUGUUACAAUACUUUCAUGCAUUUUGCAUUCGCUUGUGCAAGUCAGGGAAACCUUGGCUGGCAAAGUAAGGAGCUGUCAUUCUUCUGGAGUCUGGGCUUUGCCUACCACGGUAUACCAUGAAGGAGGUCUGGGGAUUAACUAGGGUAUGCCGUGUAAGAGGUCCAGUCAUUAGCAGACAGGCUACCCUUGGUUCACAGCAAAGGGUGGGUGGUCUGAGGGACUGUCCAAUGGUAGGAUUCAGUGUCAGGUACAAAUACCCUCAAUACGAUGCAGACUUACGGAACAGUUGAUCAAUUAGGAAAUAGCUUAAGAUGAGUUAGCGUUGGGUGUGUUUGGUCAGGAACUAGCACAUCAGUCACUCCUAGAGAGCUCUCCAAAUGGCUGCCUUUUGACUCUUCCAGACAUCAUGACUUGAGUCAGUCCCCGUAAUUAGAACAGUUAUUCCCGUUUUUCAGAUUAAUGAACUGACUUUCACGAUCCAGUACUGGUGAGGCUAGUAUUAGAACCCAAGAAAGGGAAGGUUGUAGUUCCUUUUCUUCAUUCACCAAGUAAAUACUGAGUCCAGAUUUUGUCAGGUCCCCACAUAACAAAACCUGAAAUAUUCAACUUUUGCUAUCCCACUUAGCUUCUCCGAGAGUUUACCAUUUUUAAAAUUAAUUUCUCUAUUUUUGUUAGGCCUUUGAAGAUGUCCUCUUGUGUUGUACUACUUGACCAUGAUGUACUUUAAAGCCCACCACCCCGGGUUAUCUUUAAAGGGGAAUUUAAGAAAUCUGAAUGCGAUUGGUGACAUUGUAGAAUGUCAGCCCGCUGGGAGAUUGUUUUCUGUUCCAGCUGGUGGUUGACCGUGCCCUGGAGUGUGGGAUUGCUGGUCCUGUAGUUUCAUCAUCCCUGGUAAUGACUGCAGCUGUUCUCGUUUGUGUAAAUACCGGAUACGAUCCCAUGAAACUUACCAUUCGCCCGAACGAUGUUCUUCAGCAAUGAGGAGAGCAAAUUGGAGGAGCACUGGCAGCUUUUCCACUCUUAAAGGAAAGAUGAAUGUUUUCUAAUGAAAACUACAAUUGCUUUUGUAUUUCUUAAACUGUAAUGCUUGGUGGCUAAUUCUGUAUUCUCUCUGAGUUAAAGAACAAACACAAGGAAGGAGGUAUUUUCUGGUAUCCCUCCCUGUUCUCAUUUAGAGCCAUUUGUCUUCAGAUUUGUGGGUGUGGGGAGGAGGGGGUGGUUCUUCAGCACCAUGUCCACCUCUGUGCAGUCAUGCUUCCCACCGUGAUGAUAAUGGACUAAACUUCCGUACCUGUGAGCCAGCCGCAGUGAAAUGCUGUCCUUUCUAAGAGUCACCAUGGUCAUGGCCUCUUCUGCCAAUAGAAACCUUAACUAAGACAGGACCCCAAAGUGGAAUUAGAACAAUAGCUGCUAGUGCCCAGUUUCUGGAUGAGCUCAAACCAGCUUCAGGGCCUUCUUCACUUAGGAGCCGUGCUCAGAAUACUCGAUGAUAGGGGUACUUAAGCCCAGAUUCAUAUUUAUGCAUGUUACACAUCUAGUUAUAGCAGGCUGAAUUCUGGGUAAAACGGGCUUCUAAGAAAAAAGCAUACCCCCCUUUCCUGGAAGUGCUUACCCAAGGAGAGGCACAAGGAGAAGAGACUGAAAGUCUCCCCUCUGCCAAGGAUGAGUCAUCGUUGCUCAGUUCAGCUCAUGGCCUUUUCUUUUUCUAAAGAGUGUAUUCUUGCUUCCUUGCCUGCUCCAAUUAAUCUUUUGAGAUUUGGAUCCACUGUUUCCCCUCUGAAUUCUUCUCUUUCAGGAGUAUGAGGGUCGAGUACUACUGACAUAGAGACCAGAGAAAAAUAGGGGUGUUAUGCACCUUGGAUUAGGAGAGUGCCCAUCAAUAUUGUUAACUGAGACAAGUAGUUUGCAUUGGAAUUGUUUUACUUUUGUGUUGCUGGAACAAGAAUACCUGAGAACAACUUAACAGGGAGAAAUUAUGUCUUUUUCUCACCUCACCGCUUCAGAGGCUUUGGUCUACCCUGGGUAAAAAAUGUAGCAGAAAAGAGCACUUACAUUAUGGCCGACAAGAAGCAAAAAGAGAUAGGAAGGGACCAAGGACAAGAUACCCUCAAGGACCUACUCGUGGCUUGCUUCCUCCAGGGCAUGCUUCUUGGAAAAGCCUAAUCAAGAUAAAGAGUGAGUGAGUUGGGGAGAGAGCAGGUGCGUGUUGAAAAGGGAACUUGGAGUCGUCUGGGGAUGCGGAGCAAAAGGAAGUCUCAGUUACUGCUGACGGGGACGCAAAAUACAGCGUUUUGCAGAAUUUAGCAGUUUCCUACAAGAUGAGCUGGGUGACUGAACUAUAUUGCCCCUGCUUUGACCAUCAGCCCAGGAACAAUGGAGCCAGUGGACUGAAGCCUCAGAGACUGAGAAACCUUUCCUCUUUGAACUUGAUUUCUUUUAGGAAUUUGUCAAAGAGAUGCAAAAUUGACCAACACAAUAAUUUGGUUUCAGAUUCUUAGACUUGUUAGGAAAAAGGGAUUUUGGUGUCAGUAUUAGUCAAGGCUCUCCAGAGGGGGGGAAAAACAAUAGGAUGUAAACACACACACACACACACACACACACACACACA
Molecule: small RNA, 4251 nt
Filed under: Rattus norvegicus (Norway rat)
Lineage: Eukaryota; Metazoa; Chordata; Mammalia; Rodentia; Muridae
Description: uncharacterized LOC102549102
Source: RNAcentral